This 533-nucleotide ribosomal RNA is filed under the name Buttiauxella agrestis. RNAcentral describes it as "bacterial SSU rRNA". It matches the Rfam family "Bacterial small subunit ribosomal RNA", at positions 628 to 1161 of the family's 1533-position model. Lineage: Bacteria; Pseudomonadati; Pseudomonadota; Gammaproteobacteria; Enterobacterales; Enterobacteriaceae. The record is from RNAcentral.
CGAAACUGGCAGGCUAGAGUCUUGUAGAGGGGGGUAGAAUUCCAGGUGUAGCGGUGAAAUGCGUAGAGAUCUGGAGGAAUACCGGUGGCGAAGGCGGCCCCCUGGACAAAGACUGACGCUCAGGUGCGAAAGCGUGGGGAGCAAACAGGAUUAGAUACCCUGGUAGUCCACGCCGUAAACGAUGUCGACUUGGAGGUUGUUCCCUUGAGGAGUGGCUUCCGGAGCUAACGCGUUAAGUCGACCGCCUGGGGAGUACGGCCGCAAGGUUAAAACUCAAAUGAAUUGACGGGGGCCCGCACAAGCGGUGGAGCAUGUGGUUUAAUUCGAUGCAACGCGAAGAACCUUACCUACUCUUGACAUCCAGAGAAUUCGCUAGAGAUAGCUUAGUGCCUUCGGGAACUCUGAGACAGGUGCUGCAUGGCUGUCGUCAGCUCGUGUUGUGAAAUGUUGGGUUAAGUCCCGCAACGAGCGCAACCCUUAUCCUUUGUUGCCAGCGGUUCGGCCGGGAACUCAAAGGAGACUGCCAGUGAUAA